This 71-nucleotide transfer RNA is filed under the name Plerotes anchietae (Anchieta's broad-faced fruit bat). RNAcentral describes it as "tRNA-Lys". It matches the Rfam family "tRNA". From Rfam's summary of the family: Transfer RNA (tRNA) molecules are approximately 80 nucleotides in length. Lineage: Eukaryota; Metazoa; Chordata; Mammalia; Chiroptera; Pteropodidae. The record is from RNAcentral.
CAUUAAGAAGCUAACCCCGAAGCGUUAACCUUUUAAGUUAAAGAACGGGAGUGUUAACCUCCCCUUAAUGA